AUCGAACGCUGGCGGCAGGCCUAACACAUGCAAGUCGAACGAGUGGCGGCCGGGUGAGUAAUGUAUGGGAAACUGCCCGAGGGCGGGGGAUAACUUCUGGAAACGGUGGCUAAUACCGCAUACUACCGGCUGCGCCCCGAUGGGUUUAGCUAGUAGGUGGGGUAAAGGCUCACCUAGGCGACGAUCCCUAGCUGGGCUGAGAGGACGACCAGCCACCCUGUGACGGAGACACGGUCCAGACUCCUACGGGAGGCAGCAGUGGGGAAUAUUGCACAAUGGGCGCAAGCCUGAUGCAGCCAUGCCGCGUGUAUGAAGAAGGCCUUCGGGUUGUAAAGUACUUUCAGCGGGGAGGCGUUACCCGCAGAAGAAGCACCGGCUAACUCCGUGCCAGCAGCCGCGGUAAUUC
RNAcentral lists this ribosomal RNA (406 nucleotides) under uncultured bacterium. Its description in RNAcentral is "partial 16S ribosomal RNA". It matches the Rfam family "Bacterial small subunit ribosomal RNA", at positions 29 to 526 of the family's 1533-position model. The record is from RNAcentral.